UCUGCAGGUCCUGGUGAACGCCAUCAUCAACAGUGGUCCCCGGGAGGACUCCACACGCAUUGGGCGCGCCGGGACUGUGAGAC
Molecule: microRNA precursor, 83 nt
Organism: Ailuropoda melanoleuca (giant panda)
Lineage: Eukaryota; Metazoa; Chordata; Mammalia; Carnivora; Ursidae
Source: Ensembl